This 2188-nucleotide long non-coding RNA is filed under the name Eucalyptus grandis. RNAcentral's name for it is "long non-coding RNA (EGRA_LNC003171)". Lineage: Eukaryota; Viridiplantae; Streptophyta; Magnoliopsida; Myrtales; Myrtaceae. The record is from RNAcentral.
UUCAAACCCACCUUUUCUCUCUCUUAUCUCUUCUUCUCUCUCCUCUCUCUUCUCCCCCUCUCCCUCGUAACCGACUUCUUCUUCUUCCUUCUUGUCUGUGCGAACCAGCGAACCAGAAACGGGAGAAGCCGAGACAGCAGCCAGCCGCUGCCGUCACUGCCCGUGCACCGCCUCGCUCGUCGCCAGGUCGUCGUCCUGCCGCCCGCGCUCCGCCAGCCCUCGUUUCCUCGCGCUCAGGCCUCCCCCGUGCGUCCCUCGCCCCUGUUCCGUCUCGUCCAGCCACCGUGAGUGGCCGAGCAAGCCGCCGGAGCCGCCGUGUGGCCUCACUGGACCGCCUCUUGCUUUCCCCACCCCUCUCCGCGUCUAACCAUCUCUGUUUUCCUCUGUUUCGCAGCUAAUCCAGCAACCCACGAAGUGGGUUUUCAGCCGGCUCUUGGGCCAUUUUGGGCCGUUUCCGGGCCCCGAACCCGAGCCGUGCUUUGGGAAGUUUUGUUCCUCGCGUCGCCCCCGUCGGAUUGAUCCGACUUGCGCGCGAUUUGGUGAGUAAUCUCACUAAUCCAAGAUUAGUUGGCUAAUUAUGCUUAAGGUUGGUUUAGUUUUAAUUAAUUAUGUUUAGGUUGUUAGAUUAGAAUAAAUUAGCAAUUAUUAGUCAAUUGUGAUGCGAUUUAGAUAAAUUGAUUGUGCAAUUAGCAAGUAGACGUGGUCUACUAAUUAUUGGAAGUGCCUCGGGAUUUUUCCCGACCCCUAGUGGGCUGCAAUUAGGCUUUUCGGGCCUAAGUGGAUUUUUUGUAUUUAAUUAUUAAUUUUCGGAAUUAAAUUAAAUAAUUAUUUAUUUUCCGAAAAUUCAACUGAGAUGGCCCGGGACCGGAAUAUUGUGCUGAUGACCGUGGUGAAGUCCGUUUAUUUAAUCGGGCUUUAUUUUGAGCUAAAUUGAAUUUUUAAUAUUAAUUAUUUAAUUUUCGUAAUUAAUUAUUUAAUUAAUUAUUUUUCUGAAAUUAAGAUGUUGAUGGCCGACGACCGAAAUCUCGUGCUGAUUGUCAUGGCGCAGUCCGUUUAUUUAUUUGAGCUCUACGUUGUAUGGAAUUGAAUAAAUUGUGAUAUUUUAGGGAUUUACCCUAAAUUGAUUGGAAUCGAUUGAGAUUGAAUUAUUGAUUGGUGAUUGGCCAAGUAUGUUAUUCAGCAUUUAUAAUGCUUUGUUGACUUGAUUUAAUUAUUUGAUUGAGAAAUCGUUGGGCAUUGGUUGUCGGUAUUGAAAGAAGAUUGGUAACCACUUGAAAGAGGACACGUGGGCUCGGUGAAUUGAUGCAUCACUUUGGUGAGAUAGCACCUAAGAGAAUGCACGUGGGCCCGGGCAUCGUAAAAAGGGCACGUGGACUCGGUGAAUUGAUGCAUCACUUUGGUGAGAUAGCACCUAAGAGAAUGCACGUGGGCCCGGGCAUCUAAAAGGGCACGUGAGCUCGGUGACUUGAUGUAUCACUUUGGCGAAAAGGUCGCCUGAGAGAAUGCACGUGGGCCCAAGGUUCGAGGCACGUGGACUCGGAGACUUGGAAUGUCGUCCUAGAGAAUGCACAUGGCCUCGCUUUUAGAUACUCCUCCGUGGAGAGUGAUUUGUAUGACAUGUAAUCGACUAGGUCGAUGCUUUGAUUUGAUGUUGUGAAUUGAUUGACUGAAUGGAAAUGACCGUGAGUGGUCUUGUUGGAAUAUAAUCGACCAGGUCGAUUUGAUCGAUGCUUCGAUCAGUGAUAUGAUUGCUUGGGUGCCUAUUAUGAAUUGUACUGACUUGCAGGUGAGAUCAGAGGCCAAGGUAAGUCAUCUGCCCUGUGCGUGUUUAGGCAGCCUUUAGUAUAUUGGUUUACUAAUCGGGCUUAGUGGGGUAGAACUCGCUGAGACGUAGUCUCAUCCCAGUUUGGGGAAACCAUUUCAGGACCCCGAUAAGGAGCUGAGGAGGAGAAGUCUGGGAAGGAGAUCUUGGAGGUGAAACUUGAAGGGAAGGAUUUUGAAAGAAGAAGAUAAUACCGAGAUGGGUCUUGAGUAUGGCCUGGAUGGAUUGAGAUCCUAUCUUCUUUUGAGAUCUCCAUUUUGAUGUGAAUAGUUUUGAAGUGGUUUGUGUUUUGUAUAAAAGUUUGGUUAUAAAUUUCAAUAUGAAAAAUAUGGCCCUGCUUUUCUAUCACAUCGUUUUAUUGUCUGG